CCUUUAAUUGUAGGGUAUACGGGAAGUGUAGGGACUGCAUUGUGUCUUAACAUAACGAAUUGCUUAUAGGGCCUACAAUGUAGGCCCUAUAUUUGUCUUAACUAACAUACGGCCGUUGUCUACAUCUGGGCCGCGUUCCGUUGGGGACCGUAAGGCUUACAGUAUGGCAUACUUCCCCCGAAUCGGGGGGGGACCAGCAUACAGCUCGCCUUGCGGAAGCGUGCGCGACCUUGCGCUCCUCGGAGGUGAAUGUUUGGCGGUGUCUGGCAACUGUUGUUUAUCAACAAAUCGCAGACGGCCGCCGCUUCACCACUAUAUUUUCAGUGUGGGGGAUGUAAAUGCUAUUUUGACAGCUUAUGCGACGUCACAGAACAUCAAAAACAAUGUGCCUCUGAGGCAUAAGAGACAGCCUCUACCGCCAUGGUAGCUGCUGCAGAGGCCCCUCCAGCACCUGUGGCUGCAGGGACAGUUUCCCUUUGCAUUCGAAAGUGUUUCUUGAAUUCUUUCCCGGAGUAAAGAGGCACUAUAGUGUCUGCAUAGUCCUUGACCCGCACAGGACUUGGCGGCCUAUCCUCUCCCUCUUCUCCUUGCCUUGGCAGCCUCUCUUCUCCCUCUUCCUCUUGCCUCAGCAAUAUUUCCUCCUCUCGUGCUACGAGGAGCUCUGCAGCGUCCAACAGAGGGUCUUUUGCGAGCUCUUGAGCGAGGAGGAGGAGAGCCAGCUUGGACGGCCAUCUUGUCAACCAUACCCGUAUGGCUAUACGCGUUCCCUUGCGUUCC
Molecule: long non-coding RNA, 777 nt
Organism: Portunus trituberculatus (swimming crab)
Lineage: Eukaryota; Metazoa; Arthropoda; Malacostraca; Decapoda; Portunidae
Exons: 3
Source: RefSeq, a predicted model, not a curated record